GAUGAACGCUGGCGGCGUGCCUAAUACAUGCAAGUCGAGCGAACAGACGAGGAGCUUGCUCCUCUGACGUUAGCGGCGGACGGGUGAGUAACACGUGGAUAACCUACCUAUAAGACUGGGAUAACUUCGGGAAACCGGAGCUAAUACCGGAUAAUAUAUUGAACCGCAUGGUUCAAUAGUGAAAGACGGUUUUGCUGUCACUUAUAGAUGGAUCCGCGCCGCAUUAGCUAGUUGGUAAGGUAACGGCUUACCAAGGCAACGAUGCGUAGCCGACCUGAGAGGGUGAUCGGCCACACUGGAACUGAGACACGGCCCAGACUCCUACGGGAGGCAGCAGUAGGGAAUCUUCCGCAAUGGGCGAAGGCCUGACGGAGCAACGCCGCGUGAGUGAUGAAGGUCUUCGGAUCGUAAAACUCUGUUAUUAGGGAAGAACAAAUGUGUAAGUAACUAUGCACGUCUUGACGGUACCUAAUCAGAAAGCCACGGCUAACUACGUG
Molecule: ribosomal RNA, 497 nt
Filed under: uncultured bacterium
Lineage: Bacteria
Description: partial 16S ribosomal RNA
Rfam family: Bacterial small subunit ribosomal RNA
Source: RNAcentral